RNAcentral lists this ribosomal RNA (451 nucleotides) under uncultured bacterium. RNAcentral's name for it is "partial 16S ribosomal RNA". It matches the Rfam family "Bacterial small subunit ribosomal RNA", at positions 29 to 523 of the family's 1533-position model. The record is from RNAcentral.
AACGAACGCUGGCGGCACGCCUAACACAUGCAAGUCGAACGCGUGGAGCGAUCCACGAGUGGCGCACGGGUGAGUAACGCGUGGGAACCUGCCCUGGAGUGUGGGAUAACCCGGCGAAAGCCGGGCUAAUACCGCAUACGACCUGAGGGUGAAAGAGUUAUCGCUCUAGGAGGGGCCCGCGUCGGAUUAGCUAGUUGGUGAGGUAAUGGCUCACCAAGGCGAUGAUCCGUAGCUGGUCUGAGAGGAUGAUCAGCCACACUGGGACUGAGACACGGCCCAGAUUCCUACGGGAGGCAGCAGUGGGGAAUAUUGGACAAUGGGGGCAACCCUGAUCCAGCAAUGCCGCGUGGGCGAUGAAGGCCUUCGGGUUGUAAAGCCCUUUUGCACGCGACGAUGAAGACGGUAGCGUGAGAAGAAGCCCCGGCUAACUUCGUGCCAGCCGCCGCCGUAA